RNAcentral lists this ribosomal RNA (600 nucleotides) under uncultured fungus. RNAcentral describes it as "eukaryotic LSU rRNA". The stretch from base 168 to 322 matches the Rfam family "5.8S ribosomal RNA". The record is from RNAcentral. Lineage: Eukaryota; Fungi.
GAGGGGGGAUGUGCACGCUCUGUGUACACAUCCACUCACACCUGUGGACCCUCUGGAGUGCUACAUGGUCUGGGGGACACGCCGUCUUCCUCGUGUAGCUGUACGUCUUUACACAUACACCGUACAAAGUCUUAUGGAAUGUGCACCGCGUUGGCUCUCUACUAUACAACUUUCAGCAACGGAUGUCUUGGCUCUCGCAUCUUUGAAAAACGCAGGGAAAUGCGAUAAGUAAUGUGAAUUGUGCAAUUCAUGGAAUCAUCGAAUCUUUGAACGCACCUUGCGCCCCUUGGCUAUUCCGAGGGGCAUGCCUGUUUGAGUAUCAUGGACACCUGAUCUCUCAUGGUUCGCCGUGAUGAGCUUGGACUUCUGGAGGUUUUGCUGGCCUUUGGUCGGCUCCUCUCAAACGGAUCAGCUUGCCAGUGUUUGGUGGCGUCAUGGGUGUGAUAAAUAUCUACGCUUGUGGCCGGCUGCCAGGUAACCUUCCCGAUGGAGGUUCGCUGGAGCUCGAAAGGUCUUCCUCCUCGAUACAGCUUUUUGAACACUCCAUCUCGAUCAGGUAGGACUACCCGCUGAACUUAAGCAUAUCAAUAAGCGGAGGAA